GGAAGUUAAACAUCGGGGGAUCUUUACAGCAACUGCAACAGAGACCUGACCCAGUACAACACAGAAAACCAGAGACAAUGGCAGCAACAGAGCUGGAGGAAAAAGAGCAUGGACCACAGCAGAAAAAUAAGAUCAAGGAAUUGUCAGAUCAAGUAGAGGAAGUGAAGGACAUCAUGAAGAAGAGUUUGGACCAGAUUCUGGAUCGAGAAGAAAGGCUCAAAACUUCCACCGUACAGCCGUGAAAGUAUCCCGCUCCUACUGGUGGAAGAACGUCAAGCUGAUCGUAGUCAUCGUUGUGGUCAUGCUCAUCAUUGUUCUCAUCAUCAUCCUGCUGGCCACUGGAGUCAUUCCUGUCAGUGCGCCUGUAGGUCCUGUAGUCACUCCAACCACCAAGCCCUGAACAGGAACACGCACACAAGAUGUACAAUGAGAUACAAUGAGGUCAUAAAAACAGUAUACUGAGUAUUAUAUUGACUCUAGCAAAUUACUUAUUGUUUCUGGUAAAUAUUUAAGGUUUCCUAGUUUCUUUAGGUUACUUUAUUGCAUUUGUUCCAAGCACUUUAAUGACACAUAAAUUCUUUAAAACAGUUUUAGUAAAACCAGGUAGAUUUGGUGAAUAUGUUUUCUUUUUUAUUUAUUUAUUUUUUUUGUUUUUUUACUGGAAGCCCCCCAGUUUCCAUCUCCAUCCAU
Molecule: long non-coding RNA, 690 nt
Organism: Girardinichthys multiradiatus
Lineage: Eukaryota; Metazoa; Chordata; Actinopteri; Cyprinodontiformes; Goodeidae
Exons: 3
Source: RefSeq, a predicted model, not a curated record